UUGAAUAUUUAGCAAAAUGACCGAAAGGUUAUGACGCAAAGCUAUAGGGCCUGUAAAAUGGCAGCCAGUUGCACAU
Non-coding RNA from Clostridiales bacterium 59_14, 76 nucleotides. The record is from Rfam. NCBI's taxonomy places the organism in Bacteria, Bacillati, Bacillota, Clostridia, Eubacteriales.